AUACAGAGGGUGCGAGCGUUAAUCGGAAUUACUGGGCGUAAAGCGCGCGUAGGCGGCUUAUUAAGUCAGAUGUGAAAUCCCCGGGCUCAACCUGGGAACUGCAUCUGAUACUGGUAAGCUAGAGUUUUGGAGAGGGAAGUAGAAUUUCAGGUGUAGCAGUGAAAUGCAUAGAGAUCUGAAGGAAUACCAGUGGCGAAGGCGACUUCCUGGCCAAAAACUGACGCUGAGGUGCGAAAGCGUGGGUAGCAAACGGGAUUAGAAACCCUAGUAGUCC
Molecule: ribosomal RNA, 274 nt
Filed under: uncultured bacterium
Lineage: Bacteria
Description: partial 16S ribosomal RNA
Rfam family: Bacterial small subunit ribosomal RNA
Source: RNAcentral